UGCGGCUGGAUCCCCUCCUUUCUAAGGAUAUAUUCGGAACACCUUCUUCAGAAGAUGCGGAAUAACGUGACAUAUUGUAUUCAGUUUUGAAUGUUUAUUUAACAUUCAAAUAUUUUUUGGUUAAAGCGAUAUUGCUUAUGAAAAUAAAGCAGUAUGCGAGCGCUUGACUAAAAAGAAAUUGUACAUUGAAAACUAGAUAAGUAAGUAAAAUAUAGAUUUUACCAAGCAAAACCGAGUGAAUAAAGAGUUUUAAAUAAGCUUGAAUUCAUAAGAAAUAAUCGCUAGUGUUCGAAAGAACACUCACAAGAUUAAUAACGCGUUUAAAUCUUUUUAUAAAAGAACGUAACUUCAUGUUAACGUUUGACUUAUAAAAAUGGUGGAAACAUAGAUUAAGUUAUUAAGGGCGCACGGUGGAUGCCUUGGCACUAGAAGCCGAUGAAGGACGUUACUAACGACGAUAUGCUUUGGGGAGCUGUAAGUAAGCUUUGAUCCAGAGAUUUCCGAAUGGGGAAACCCGG
This 518-nucleotide unclassified non-coding RNA is filed under the name uncultured bacterium. RNAcentral describes it as "partial contains 16S ribosomal RNA, 16S-23S ribosomal RNA intergenic spacer, and 23S ribosomal RNA". The stretch from base 388 to 518 matches the Rfam family "Bacterial large subunit ribosomal RNA", at positions 1 to 131 of the family's 2925-position model. The record is from RNAcentral.